AAGCAAAGACUAUUGUAAAGGGGAUACUCAGUUGGUUUUAUAUGUUCUGUUAUGUAAGAAGAUGACUUACUGUGUAAAGGAAGUCAACUAGAAAUGAAUAACUGCUUAUAUGAAACCAUUUAGUUUUAAGGUAUCAUUGUACCAGACCUUUUAUAAACACAUUUCCAGAGCUAAAUUCCAUAGGACUUUACAGUGUCAAAAUUAUACACUUAGUUUUAAACUUUUCAGAGAACAUGGUAUUUAAUAUGUUUCACCUCUUCUAUUUUUAGUUAAAAAUCCUUCCAAGGCAGUUUACUUUUAUGAUAAUUUACCAAAAAGGCAACAGAACACGUCUGCUGAGGCACAUUGCUGUGUGGGAUGGCAAAGAGAUCAAGGUAACAGGCACUUACACUGGACUCUUCCCAAAGUUGCCCGGAGGUCACGAUGUUCAGGAUAUCAGUGUCAUCUUCUCUGAAGUUUGGAAGAGACCGUACAAACUACAGAGCUGCCAUUGCCCACCCAUUUAAUUACACUCUGAAGCAACUGGAGGUCCAUUCCCUGUCAAAAAGAAGAGGCAGAAAGUACAACCAGCAGGUGAGAUCAUGAGAAAGGGCUGCAAAAUACAAAGCUGUAGUAUUACUGUGUAUUUAUGUUAGUGUGCCUUUCUGAACUGCAGAACCAC
This 661-nucleotide long non-coding RNA is filed under the name Calidris pugnax (ruff). RNAcentral describes it as "lncRNA (ENSCPUG00000016863.1)". The record is from RNAcentral. Lineage: Eukaryota; Metazoa; Chordata; Aves; Charadriiformes; Scolopacidae.